AGUGAACGCUGGCGGUAGGCCUAACACAUGCAAGUCGAACGGCAGCACAGUAAGAGCUUGCUCUUACGGGUGGCGAGUGGCGGACGGGUGAGGAAUACAUCGGAAUCUACUUUUUCGUGGGGAUAACCGAGGGAAACCUACCCUUAUACCCCAAUACACCUACCGGUGUAAGCCAGGGGUCUUCGGACCUUUCGCGGUUGCAUGUACCGAUGUCGGAUUAGCUAGUUGGCGGGGUAAAGGCCCACCAAGGCGACGAUCCGUAGCUGGUCUGAGAGGAUGAUCAGCCACACUGGAACUGAGACACGGUCCAGACUCCUACGGGAGGCAGCAGUGGGGAAUAUUGGACAAUGGGCGCAAGCCUGAUCCAGCCAUACCGCGUGGGUGAAGAAGGCCUUCGGGUUGUAAAGCCCUUUUGUUGGGAAAGAAAAGCAGCAGGUUAAUACCCCGCUGUUCUGACGGUACCCAAAGAAUAAGCACCGGCUAACUUCGUG
Molecule: ribosomal RNA, 491 nt
Filed under: uncultured bacterium
Lineage: Bacteria
Description: partial 16S ribosomal RNA
Rfam family: Bacterial small subunit ribosomal RNA
Source: RNAcentral